Long non-coding RNA from Saccostrea cuccullata (small rock oyster), 896 nucleotides. RefSeq lists it as uncharacterized. The record is from RefSeq and is a predicted model, not a curated record. The transcript is spliced from 2 exons. NCBI's taxonomy places the organism in Eukaryota, Metazoa, Mollusca, Bivalvia, Ostreida, Ostreidae.
AUCUUUGUUCUUGCUGAUAGAAAUUGUAGCUUUAUGGCUUUAUCUGACUCUAUACAUAUAUAGAAUUGAAGAGUUUUUAUUAUGUCCCGUGCCCUGGUCAUUAAACAUUUACAUCGUAAAGCAUGUGCCACCAAUGUGACUAAGAUAAAUUAUCAAUUUUUUGAAAUAAUUAUGUUUGGAGUCUAAUAUUAGACUAAAAAAUGUCAAAUUUAUGAUUAAUAGAAAAAAAAAUUGGAAUGAGCUAACUAAAACACAAUCUAUUUUAAGUUAGGUAAAAAAAGUAAUUUUGUAAAAUUAACAAGGUUUUAGUUUUGAUUUUUUUUCUUAGCAGGGGUAUAUGUUUAAAAAAAAACAUUUCCUGGCCAGUUUCUUCUUCUUAUUCAAGAAAAUUAUGACCAUUUUAGGUUGACAUUCUUGUGUAAAAGGAUGAAAAUAUUGCAAUUUUUUCUGUGAUAUUGUUUGAUUUCAGAUACCCUUUACCACUAAAUGUUCUAGAAUGGCUUUAUAGUAUAUGUACAUAUUGUUUAAAUAACAAAGCUCAUUUUUGUACCAAAUAGAAAUAUUUUCGAGUACAUGGAACUAAUCCACUUAACUCUGAAAAAUCCCAGGUUAAACUAUUGCAAACCAAAGAUCAUACUUAGUAAUUUAAAUAAAUUGCCUGGUUUUAUACCUGGCUUAUGACUGUAUAUACUGUUGAUAUUGAUAUCGCCAUUUGUAAAUGUACCUGUUGAAUGUUGAUCAGUGCUUAUUUUGCUGGCUUUUAUAUCAUCUUACGUAAAUAUUGGACAUUUUUUGACUUUAUUAUAUCAUUUGUUGACUUUUUUUUAUAAAUAUGUAAAAUGAAUUUGUUAUAUUAAUCAGAUAUUUUAUUAAAUCAGUUUAAUUUGGCAUAAGAA